RNAcentral lists this ribosomal RNA (465 nucleotides) under Vreelandella stevensii. Its description in RNAcentral is "partial 16S ribosomal RNA". It matches the Rfam family "Bacterial small subunit ribosomal RNA", at positions 338 to 795 of the family's 1533-position model. The record is from RNAcentral. Lineage: Bacteria; Pseudomonadati; Pseudomonadota; Gammaproteobacteria; Oceanospirillales; Halomonadaceae.
CCUACGGGGGGCAGCAGUGGGGAAUAUUGGACAAUGGGGGGAACCCUGAUCCAGCCAUGCCGCGUGUGUGAAGAAGGCCCGCGGGUUGUAAAGCACUUUCAGGGAGGAAGAACGCCUGGUGGUUAAUACCCAUCAGGAAAGACAUCACUCACAGAAGAAGCACCGGCUAACUCCGUGCCAGCAGCCGCGGUAAUACGGAGGGUGCGAGCGUUAAUCGGAAUUACUGGGCGUAAAGCGCGCGUAGGUGGCUUGAUAAGCCGGUUGUGAAAGCCCCGGGCUCAACCUGGGAACGGCAUCCGGAACUGUUAAGCUAGAGUGCAGGAGAGGAAGGCAGAAUUCCCGGUGUAGCGGUGAAAUGCGUAGAGAUCGGGAGGAAUACCAGUGGCGAAGGCGGCCUUCUGGACUGACACUGACACUGAGGUGCGAAAGCGUGGGUAGCAAACAGGAUUAGAUACCCGGGUAGUC